This 549-nucleotide ribosomal RNA is filed under the name uncultured bacterium. RNAcentral's name for it is "bacterial SSU rRNA". It matches the Rfam family "Bacterial small subunit ribosomal RNA", at positions 355 to 897 of the family's 1533-position model. The record is from RNAcentral.
UGGGGAAUAUUGCACAAUGGGGGGAACCCUGAUGCAGCCAUGCCGCGUGAAUGAAGAAGGCCUUCGGGUUGUAAAGUUCUUUCGGUGACGAGGAAGGUUGAUAGGUUAAUAGCCUAUCAAAUUGACGUUAACCACAGAAGAAGCACCGGCUAACUCCGUGCCAGCAGCCGCGGUAAUACGGGGGGUGCGAGCGUUAAUCGGAAUAACUGGGCGUAAAGGGCACGCAGGCGGUGACUUAAGUGAGAUGUGAAAGCCCCGAGCUUAACUUGGGAAUUGCAUUUCAUACUGGGUCGCUAGAGUACUUUAGGGAGGGGUAGAAUUCCACGUGUAGCGGUGAAAUGCGUAGAGAUGUGGAGGAAUACCGAAGGCGAAGGCAGCCCCUUGGGAAUGUACUGACGCUCAUGUGCGAAAGCGUGGGGAGCAAACAGGAUUAGAUACCCUGGUAGUCCACGCUGUAAACGAUGUCGAUUUGGGGAUUGGGCUUUGAGCUUGGUGCCCGUAGCUAACGUGAUAAAUCGACCGCCUGGGGAGUACGGCCGCAAAGGUUUA